This 297-nucleotide signal recognition particle RNA is filed under the name Cebus imitator (Panamanian white-faced capuchin). Its description in RNAcentral is "Metazoan signal recognition particle RNA (ENSCCAG00000009680.1)". It matches the Rfam family "Metazoan signal recognition particle RNA". Rfam says of the family: The signal recognition particle (SRP) is a universally conserved ribonucleoprotein. It is involved in the co-translational targeting of proteins to membranes. Lineage: Eukaryota; Metazoa; Chordata; Mammalia; Primates; Cebidae. The record is from RNAcentral.
GCCAGGCAUGUUGGUGAGUGCCUGUAGUCCCAGCUACUAGGAAGGCUGAGGCGGGAGGAUCACUUCAGCCCUGGAGUUCUGGGCUGUAGUGCGCUAUGCCAAUCGGGUGUCUGCACUAAGUUCAGCAUCAAUAUGGUGACCUCCCGGGAGCGGGGGACCACCAGAUUGCCUAAGGAGGGGUGAACUGGCCCAGGUCGGAAACAGCAGGUCAAAACUCCUGUUCUGAUCGGUAGUAGGAUCGCGCCUGUGAAUAGCCACUGCACUCCAGCAUGGGCAACACAGCGAGACCCCGUCUCA